CAUGAUGAAAUAUAUAUAUUCUUAUAUAUUUUGGAUUGUAUAGUGGGUAGUCGCAGUCACCUCACACCUGUUUGAUAUGAUUUUAAAUAAUCCGAUGUCAUAUAAAAGGAAAACAAAUUCUUUAGAAUUUGGAAAAGUUUAAAAAUUUUAAGUUUUUAACUAACUGU
This 167-nucleotide non-coding RNA is filed under the name unclassified sequences. Its description in RNAcentral is "IS605-orfB-II RNA". It matches the Rfam family "IS605-orfB-II RNA". The record is from Rfam by way of RNAcentral.